RNAcentral lists this ribosomal RNA (434 nucleotides) under uncultured bacterium. RNAcentral describes it as "bacterial SSU rRNA". It matches the Rfam family "Bacterial small subunit ribosomal RNA", at positions 355 to 786 of the family's 1533-position model. The record is from RNAcentral.
UGAGGAAUAUUGGUCAAUGGACGAGAGUCUGAACCAGCCAAGUAGCGUGAAGGAUGACUGCCCUAUGGGUUGUAAACUUCUUUUAUACGGGAAUAAAGUGAGGCACGUGUGCCUUUUUGUAUGUACCGUAUGAAUAAGGAUCGGCUAACUCCGUGCCAGCAGCCGCGGUAAUACGGAGGAUCCGAGCGUUAUCCGGAUUUAUUGGGUUUAAAGGGAGCGUAGGCGGACGCUUAAGUCAGUUGUGAAAGUUUGCGGCUCAACCGUAAAAUUGCAGUUGAUACUGGGUGUCUUGAGUACAGUAGAGGCAGGCGGAAUUCGUGGUGUAGCGGUGAAAUGCGUAGAUAUUAGGAGGAACACCAGUGGCGAAGGCGGCUUACUGGACGGCAACUGACGUUGAGCUCGAAAGCGUGGGGGAGCAAACAGGAUUAGAUACC